UGAAUGUCUGAAUCAGACACCAGUCGGGUGGCUCCAACCACUGCAUCUAUUUCAGAUUGGGCUUUGGAUUGAAUAUCGGGGUGUAAAACCAUUCUUGCAAGAAUCCACUCCAACAGAAUUGCCACCGUGUCAGUCCCUCUAAAGAUCAUUUCCUGAGAUUGCAACAUAUUUCCAAUUACACAAACGUGUGAAGAUUAAAUAAAACACGAUGAUAAUAAAGAAAAAGUCAAGGAAAAGAAAUGCAUCACCAUGACAAAGCAUAAAUUGUAAAGCAUAAGAAACAAAGACAGGAAAGAAAGAAAAGAAAGAAAAUGAAUCUUAUCACGGUGAAAAGAGAAACUAUUCAGAUUCUCAAUAUCUAUGGAUGCCCAAAAAAACAAACUUAAAGAAAAGACCUGGCUAUUUCAAGCAUCAAUGUAACAGUAACAAAGAGGGAAAAUGCAUAAAAAGGCUAAAAACUAAAACAUGAAAAACCUAGUGAAUGCAACCACAAAAAAAAGGUCUAAUGAGAAAAAAAAACCUUUGUCAAGAUGUGCUGGGGAAGCACACCAAGAACAGAAAAUGAACAUAUUUCUACAGUAGGUGAUGAACCUGACAAUAGAAUGUUUGAAGGCGCUUACCCAUAAAACAGCAAUCAUAUCAGAGUCGCUGAGCCUGCUUUCCUUUUCCAAAUCGAGUAAGACGUCAACAAAAUCGCCUGAACUGUCAUCACCAUCACGACCCACUUCUCCAUCACCAACCCUCCUGAGCCUGUGCUCAUCUAUGAUCCUGGAAACAAAAACGUUCACCUUCGAAACCAACUUUUUGCAUCUCUUUCUCACUCCUUGCAAGUCCAACCACCCGAGAAGCGGUAAGUGGUCACUCCAGUUGAAUAUACCAAGCAGUUCGUACCCUUCACUCACCAGGCUCUCAAGCUCAACCGCAUCACCAGAAACACCUUUUCCAAAGUCGUAGCUCCUUCCAAACACGCUCAUCAUCACAUUGUUCAAAGACCCAAAAUGCAACACUUUCUUCACCUUCACCUCACCUUUCUUCUCCAUCAAAACCCUAAUCUCAUCCACCAUUUUCAACCCAAUAGUCCUCCGAAACUCCCCGAAACCAGCGAUUCUCCUCGGACUGAACAAAUGGGUGGCCGAAAUCCUCCUCAGAUUUCUCCAGUACACCCCGAACGGAGCAAAACCCAUUGCUCGGUGGAAUAAAAGCUCAUAAGCCGACUCCUUCACUGGUCGGUCCGCGAACGCCGAACUGUUCAGAAUCUCCUUGGCUGUUUCCGGUUGGCUGGAGAUAAUGAAACGAGUAAAGCCAACCGAAAAAGCCAUCAAUGGCGCAGCUUCAGAAACACGAGCCAGCUUGGCCAGAACCCUAUGAGUCAGAGAGCCAGUGAAGGCGAAAACAAGACCUAUCAGAGGUAACCCAGAAGGGCCAGGAAUGGCGCUACGUGCUUUAGCCUUGGACAUAGCCCAAGCUAAACCACCAGGCACAAGCCAGAAACCAAAGACGCCAACGAACAAAACCACACACAAGAACAGUUCCAAACUUAGAACUGGCGAGGACCCAGUUCCCGGAACGAACGAAAAGUAGUUUUCCGACGACAUUUUCACAAGGUAGAGCCGUAGAGCUCCCCGGGAGAGACACCAAGGGAAGAGGAUAGAGAAACGAAAGAG
RNAcentral lists this long non-coding RNA (1664 nucleotides) under Vitis vinifera (wine grape). RNAcentral's name for it is "long non-coding RNA (VVIN_LNC005689)". The record is from RNAcentral. Lineage: Eukaryota; Viridiplantae; Streptophyta; Magnoliopsida; Vitales; Vitaceae.